RNAcentral lists this ribosomal RNA (406 nucleotides) under uncultured bacterium. Its description in RNAcentral is "partial 16S ribosomal RNA". It matches the Rfam family "Bacterial small subunit ribosomal RNA", at positions 30 to 526 of the family's 1533-position model. The record is from RNAcentral.
AUUGAACGCUGGCGGCAGGCCUAACACAUGCAAGUCGAGCGAGCGGCGGACGGGUGAGUAAUGUCUCGGAAACUGCCUCAUGGAGGGGGAUAACUCCUGGAAACGGUAGCUAAUACCCCAUACCAUCAGAUGUGCCCCGAUGGGAUUAUCUAGUAGGUGGGGUAACGGCUCACCUAGGCGACAAUCCCUAGCUGGUCUGAGAGGAUGACCAGCCAAACUGGAACUGAGACACGGUCCAGACUCCUACGUGAGGCAGCAGUGGGGAAUAUUGCACAAUGGGCGCAAGCCUGAGGCAGCCAUGCCGCGUGUGUGAAGAAGGCCUUCGGGUUGUAAAGCACUUUCAGCGGGGAGGCGUUACCCGCAGAAGAAGCACCGGCUAACUCCGUGCCAGCAGCCGCGGUAAUAC